ACUCAAAUGAAUUGACGGGGGCCCGCACAAGCGGUGGAGCAUGUGGUUUAAUUCGAUGCAACGCGAAGAACCUUACCUGGAUUUGACAUCCCUAGAUCGCCGUAGAGAUACGGUUUCCCCUUCGGGGGCUAGGAGACAGGUGCUGCAUGGCUGUCGUCAGCUCGUAUCGUGAGAUGUCGGGUUAAGUCCCUUAACGAGCGCAACCCUUAUUCUUAGUUGCCACCAUUCAGUUGGGCACUCUAAGGAGACUGCCGGUGUUAAACCGGAGGAAGGCGGGGAUGACGUCAAGUCCUCAUGGCCUUUAUAUCCAGGGCUACACACGUGCUACAAUGGCCGGUACAAAGGGUUGCCAACCCGCGAGGGGGAGCUAAUCUCAGAAAGCCGGUCUCAGUUCGAAUUGAAGUCUGCAACUCGACUUCAUGAAGCUGGAAUCGCUAGUAAUCGCGGAUCAGAACGCCGCGGUGAAUACGUUCCCGGGCCUUGCACACACCGCCCGU
Molecule: ribosomal RNA, 497 nt
Filed under: uncultured bacterium
Lineage: Bacteria
Description: partial 16S ribosomal RNA
Rfam family: Bacterial small subunit ribosomal RNA
Source: RNAcentral